RNAcentral lists this ribosomal RNA (428 nucleotides) under Acidobacteriota bacterium. RNAcentral describes it as "Acidobacteria bacterium partial 16S ribosomal RNA". It matches the Rfam family "Bacterial small subunit ribosomal RNA", at positions 355 to 776 of the family's 1533-position model. The record is from RNAcentral. Lineage: Bacteria; Pseudomonadati; Acidobacteriota.
UGGGGAAUUUUGGACAAUGGGGGAAACCCUGAUCCAGCCAUCCCGCGUGUGCGAUGAAGGCCUUCGGGUUGUAAAGCACUUUGGCAGGAAAGAAACGUCAUGGGUUAAUACCCCGUGAAACUGACGGUACCUGCAGAAUAAGCACCGGCUAACUACGUGCCAGCAGCCGCGGUAAUACGUAGGGUGCAAGCGUUAAUCGGAAUUACUGGGCGUAAAGCGUGCGCAGGCGGUUCGGAAAGAAAGAUGUGAAAUCCCAGAGCUCAACUUUGGAACUGCAUUUUUAACUACCGGGCUAGAGUGUGUCAGAGGGAGGUGGAAUUCCGCGUGUAGCAGUGAAAUGCGUAGAUAUGCGGAGGAACACCGAUGGCGAAGGCAGCCUCCUGGGAUAACACUGACGCUCAUGCACGAAAGCGUGGGGAGCAAACAGG